Molecule: ribosomal RNA, 253 nt
Filed under: uncultured bacterium
Lineage: Bacteria
Description: partial 16S ribosomal RNA
Rfam family: Bacterial small subunit ribosomal RNA
Source: RNAcentral
UACGGAGGGUGCAAGCGUUAUCCGGAUUCACUGGGUUUAAAGGGUGCGUAGGUGGCUUUGUAGGUCAGUGGUGAAAUGCCGCAGCUCAACUGCGGAACUGCCAUUGAUACUGCUUAGCUUGAAUCACGUCGAGGUGGAUGGAAUAUUACAUGUAGCGGUGAAAUGCUUAGAUAUGUAAUAGAACACCGAUUGCGAAGGCAGUUCACUAGGCGUGUAUUGACACUGAGGCACGAAAGCGUGGGGAUCAAACAGG